GAUGAACGCUGGCGGCGUGCCUAACACAUGCAAGUCGAACGCUCGCAGGAGAGUGGCGCACGGGUGAGUGACACGUAGCUAAUCUGCCCUCAAGACAAGGAUAACUGUAGGAAACUACUGCUAAUACUUGAUAAGCUUACGGACUGUAGAGGUCUAUAAGAAAAGAUUUAUCGCUUGAGGAUGAGGCUGCGCGCCAUCAGCUAGUUGGUAAGGUAAUGGCUUACCAAGGCGACGACGGCUAGGGGACCUGAGAGGGUGACCCCCACCAC
RNAcentral lists this ribosomal RNA (269 nucleotides) under uncultured bacterium. Its description in RNAcentral is "partial 16S ribosomal RNA". It matches the Rfam family "Bacterial small subunit ribosomal RNA", at positions 28 to 314 of the family's 1533-position model. The record is from RNAcentral.